This 433-nucleotide ribosomal RNA is filed under the name uncultured bacterium. RNAcentral describes it as "partial 16S ribosomal RNA". It matches the Rfam family "Bacterial small subunit ribosomal RNA", at positions 29 to 507 of the family's 1533-position model. The record is from RNAcentral.
AACGAACGCUGGCGGCAUGCCUAACACAUGCAAGUCGAACGAGACCUUCGGGUCUAGUGGCGCACGGGUGCGUAACGCGUGGGAACCUGCCCUUAGGUUCGGAAUAACUCCCCGAAAGGGGUGCUAAUACCGGAUAAUGUCUUCGGACCAAAGAUUUAUCGCCUUUGGAUGGGCCCGCGUUGGAUUAGCUAGUUGGUAGGGUAAAAGCCUACCAAGGCGACGAUCCAUAGCUGGUCUGAGAGGAUGAUCAGCCACACUGGGACUGAGACACGGCCCAGACUCCUACGGGAGGGAGGAGUGGGGAAUAUUGGACAAUGGGCGAAAGCCUGAUCCAGCAAUGCCGCGUGAGUGAUGAAGGCCUUAGGGUUGUAAAGCUCUUUUACCCGGGAUGAUAAUGACAGUACCGGGAGAAUAAGCUCCGGCUAACUCCGUG